RNAcentral lists this transfer RNA (71 nucleotides) under Bos taurus (domestic cattle). It matches the Rfam family "tRNA". Rfam says of the family: Transfer RNA (tRNA) molecules are approximately 80 nucleotides in length. Their secondary structure includes four short double-helical elements and three loops (D, anti-codon, and T loops). RNAcentral also lists the same sequence under 5 other names. Lineage: Eukaryota; Metazoa; Chordata; Mammalia; Artiodactyla; Bovidae. The record is from Rfam by way of RNAcentral.
UCCCUCCUGGCUCAGCUGGUAAAGAACCCACCUGCAAUGUGGGAGACCAGGGUUUGACCCCUGGGUUGGGA